RNAcentral lists this long non-coding RNA (473 nucleotides) under Homo sapiens (human). RNAcentral describes it as "non-protein coding lnc-CDKN2B-5:1". Lineage: Eukaryota; Metazoa; Chordata; Mammalia; Primates; Hominidae. The record is from RNAcentral.
UAAGGAAGGAAACAUAACCAGGAAUCUACUUGAAAAGGUUAUUGGAACAAGUUCACUAUAUGUAACAGAAAAAUGGAAAGGAAGACAGUAUUUGAAGUGGCAGAUAGGAUUCAACCAGGCUCACAUAGAAUUCUCUCAGAAAACUAAAUGAAAGGAACCUCUCAAUGACAAAAACAGCUCCCUUCACUCAACUCUGCUUCUAUGGGCAUAUCAAGGCAAUAGAAUCUCUCACACCAAACUCCCACUUGCUUUUCAUCUUUGUUUUAGUUUUCUGACAUUUUCAACAGUAGCCCAUGUGCUCCAGCCCUGUACUAUGGUCUGCUUCAGGGUAACACAGCCAUGUUGGAGCAUGAGUAGUAAUUAGAAUUGUUCAAUUGUUCACUCUUUUUUUUUUUUUUUUUUUUUUUUUGAGAUGGAUUCCUGUUGGUUUGCUUGUCUUUGAAUUCUGCAAGAUUCCCAGGACCCCUUCUCUC